CUACGUAGGGGGCGAGCGUUGUCCGGAAUGAUUGGGCGUAAAGGGCGCGUAGGCGGCCUGUUAAGUCUGGAGUGAAAGUCCUGUUUUCAAGAUGGGAAUUGCUUUGGAUACUGAUGGGCUUGAGUGCAGGAGAGGUUAUCGGAAUUCCCGGUGUAGCGGUGAAAUGCGUAGAGAUCGGGAGGAACACCAGUGGCGAAGGCGGGUAACUGGACUGCAACUGACGCUGAGGCGCGAAAGUGUGGGGAGCAAACAGGAUUAGAUACCCUGGUAGUCCACACUGUAAACGAUGAAUGCUAGGUGUAAGAGGUAUCGACCCCUUUUGUGCCGGAGUUAACACAAUAAGCAUUCCGCCUGGGGAGUACGGCCGCAAGGUUGAAACUUAAAGGAAUUGACGGGG
This 397-nucleotide ribosomal RNA is filed under the name uncultured bacterium. Its description in RNAcentral is "partial 16S ribosomal RNA". It matches the Rfam family "Bacterial small subunit ribosomal RNA", at positions 523 to 918 of the family's 1533-position model. The record is from RNAcentral.